This 689-nucleotide ribosomal RNA is filed under the name Marinobacter sp. M06A32. RNAcentral's name for it is "bacterial SSU rRNA". It matches the Rfam family "Bacterial small subunit ribosomal RNA", at positions 669 to 1367 of the family's 1533-position model. Lineage: Bacteria; Pseudomonadati; Pseudomonadota; Gammaproteobacteria; Pseudomonadales; Marinobacteraceae. The record is from RNAcentral.
UCUUGUGAGCGGUGAAUGCGUAGAUUAGGAAGGACACCAGUGCGAAGCGGCUCUCUGACCAAACUGACACUGAGGUGCGAAAGCGUGGGAGCAAACAGGAUUAGAUACCCUGGUAGUCCACCCUGUAAACGAUGUCAACUAGCCGUUGGGACUCUUGAAGUCUUAGUGGCGCAGCUAACGCACUAAGUAGACCGCCUGGGGAGUACGGCCGCAAGGUUAAAACUCAAAUGAAUUGACGGGGGCCCGCACAAGCGGUGGAGCAUGUGGUUUACUUCGACGCAACGCGAAGAACCUUACCUGGCCUUGACAUGCAGAGAACUUUCCAGAGAUGGAUUGGUGCCUUCGGGAACUCUGACACAGGUGCUGCAUGGCCGUCGUCAGCUCGUGUCGUGAGAUGUUGGGUUAAGUCCCGUAACGAGCGCAACCCCUAUCCCUAGUUGCUAGCAGUUCGGCUGAGAACUCUAGGGAGACUGCCGGUGACAAACCGGAGGAAGGUGGGGAUGACGUCAGGUCAUCAUGGCCCUUACGGCCAGGGCUACACACGUGCUACAAUGGUGCGUACAGAGGGCUGCAAACCCGCGAGGGGGAGCUAAUCUCACAAAACGCAUCGUAGUCCGGAUCGCAGUCUGCAACUCGACUCCGUGAAGUCGGAAUCGCUAGUAAUCGCGAAUCAGAAUGUCGCGGUGAAU